AGUGCUUGCACUUGGAUGGACUGAGUGGCGGACGGGUGAGUAACGCGUGGGUAACCUGCCUUAUACAGGGGGAUAACAGUUGGAAACGACUGCUAAUACCGCAUAAGCGCACGGUAUCGCAUGAUACAGUGUGAAAAACUCCGGUGGUAUAAGAUGGGCCUGCGUCUGAUUAGCUAGUUGGUGAGGUAACGGCCCACCAAGGCGACGAUCAGUAGCCGGACUGAGAGGUUGACCGGCCACAUUGGGACUGAGAUACGGCCCAGACUCC
This 268-nucleotide ribosomal RNA is filed under the name uncultured Lachnospiraceae bacterium. Its description in RNAcentral is "partial 16S ribosomal RNA". It matches the Rfam family "Bacterial small subunit ribosomal RNA", at positions 75 to 339 of the family's 1533-position model. Lineage: Bacteria; Bacillati; Bacillota; Clostridia; Lachnospirales; Lachnospiraceae. The record is from RNAcentral.